Molecule: ribosomal RNA, 623 nt
Filed under: uncultured archaeon
Lineage: Archaea
Description: bacterial SSU rRNA
Rfam family: Archaeal small subunit ribosomal RNA
Source: RNAcentral
AUAAUACUCCAUAGAUUAGAGACACUGGAAUGUUCUUUAGUCGAAAGUUCUGGCGCCUUAGGAUGGAUCUGCGGUCGAUUAGGUUGUUGUUGGGGUAACGGCCCAACAAGCCUGUAAUCGAUACGGGUUGUGGGAGCAAGAGCCCGGAGAUGGAAUCUGAGACACGAUUCCAGGCCCUACGGGGCGCAGCAGGCGCGAAAACUUUACAAUGCAGGAAACUGUGAUAAGGGAACUCCGAGUGCCCGUAUACGCGGGCUGUCCAGGUGUUUAAAAAUCAUCUGAAGAAAGGGCCGGGCAAGACCGGUGCCAGCCGCCGCGGUAAUACCGGCGGCUCGAGUGGUGGCCACUAUUAUUGGGCUUAAAGCGUCCGUAGCUGGACCGAUAAGUCUCUUGGGAAAUCCGCCGGCUCAACCGGCGGGCGUCUAAGGGAUACUGUUAGUCUAGGGACCGGGAGAGGUGAGAGGUACUCCGGGGGUAGGAGUGAAAUCCUGUAAUCCCCGGGGGACCACCGAUGGCGAAGGCAUCUCACCAGAACGGCUCCGACAGUGAGGGACGAAAGCUGGGGGAGCGAACCGGAUUAGAUACCCGGGUAGUCCCAGCCGUAAACUAUGCGCGUUAUGUGU